This is a long non-coding RNA of Salvia splendens (bonfire salvia), 1212 nucleotides long. RefSeq lists it as uncharacterized. The record is from RefSeq and is a predicted model, not a curated record. The transcript has 5 exons. NCBI's taxonomy places the organism in Eukaryota, Viridiplantae, Streptophyta, Magnoliopsida, Lamiales, Lamiaceae.
CUUAGCAGUCGAUUUAGAGUUGAGACGCAUCGUUUCCGCUCCAUAAAUAUUCAUCCAAAUACAAUAUCCCCACACCGCUAAUUCUAUCAAUUUUCUGCUGCUUUUUUGCUUGCCUUCAAAUGGCUGCGCCGCUCGACUAGUGAAGGCGGGCUAUGAAGUGCACGGGAUCGACUGCGAAGGCCAUGGGAAAUCCUCCGGCCAGCUCGGACUUGUCACCAGCUUUGACGAUCACUUCACCAAUAUUUCCGAGAGGAAAGAGAAUAGGAAUAAGCUGAGGAUAUCAAUGGGAGGGGCGAUGGUCCUACACUUGCAUAGAAAAAUGCAUGCCUUUUGGGAUGGUGCCAUCCUCGUUGCUCCUAUGUGUAAGGUCAAAUUUAUUCUCUUCUAUCAUAACAAAAUCCAUCAAGUCAUCAUAUACUUAGUUGCUGUUCGAUUUGUUAUCAUGAGAUAUAAUCAUAAUUGAAUUGUGAGAUUGUUUCCAAACAUUAUACAUAUUUAAUUCUGAUAUAUAAUCUUGCAAAUCGAACAACCGCAAAUUGUUGACGAGAUGAAACCAAGCCCGAUAGUUAUCACUAUUUUGAUCGCUUUGGCUCGCAUCAUCCCUACGUGGCGACUUACUCCUACUCCAGAUAAAAAGGGAUCCACAAGUUAGACGAGGUUAGGUCCAACCCUUACACAUAUAGAGGCCGACCGCGACUACAAACAGGCUACCAACUCUACGCAGCCAGCAUGGAUUUGGAACAAAGGCUUCAAGAGGUUUCGUUGUCGUUUAUUGUUCUGCACGGGGAAGAGGAUAAGGUGACGGAUCCAUCAGUGAGCAAAACACUACAUGAAACUGCACGCGCAACGGACAAGACGAUCAAGCUGUAUCCGGGAAUGUGGCACUCGUUGUCGUACGGCGAGCUGCCGGAAAAUCUUGACAUCGUCAACUGGGUUGACCAAACAUUGAGCGUCAGAUUGGAAGAGCAACUCAAAUGAUCAAAAUGCAAUCCCAUCGGAAUCUGCUAAAUAAAGAUAAUAUUUCAUGGAAGCCUCUUAUGUUUUUUUUUAUCAUACUUUAAUUUUUUAUAUAUAUUUUUUUUUUCAACCUAAGUUAUUAAAUACUACUACUAUUCUGUAAAGAUAGACCAUCAUUUCCUCCAUUCUAAUGUCGUCAAUUUAUUGAAUGUAUUAGCAACUUUGUAAAUAUUUAUUCAUUUUUCAAGAUUUUUG